Molecule: ribosomal RNA, 292 nt
Filed under: uncultured bacterium
Lineage: Bacteria
Description: partial 16S ribosomal RNA
Source: RNAcentral
GGACUACCGGGGUUUCUAAUCCCAUUUGCUCCCCUGGCUUUCGUUCCUCAGCGUCAGUUACGGCCCAGUAAGUCGCCUACGCCACCGGUGUUCUUCCUGAUAUCUACGCAUUUCACCGCUACACCAGGAAUUCCACUUACCUCUACCGCACUCCAGUCUGCCAGUAUCCAAUGCACUCCCAGGGUUGGGCCCUGAUCUUUAACAUCAGACUUAACAGACCGCCUACGAACUCUUUACGCCCAAUAAAUCCGGACAACGCUUGCAUCCUACGUCUUACCGCGGCUGCUGGCAC